RNAcentral lists this transfer RNA (72 nucleotides) under Ornithorhynchus anatinus (platypus). It matches the Rfam family "tRNA". From Rfam's summary of the family: Transfer RNA (tRNA) molecules are approximately 80 nucleotides in length. Their secondary structure includes four short double-helical elements and three loops (D, anti-codon, and T loops). Lineage: Eukaryota; Metazoa; Chordata; Mammalia; Monotremata; Ornithorhynchidae. The record is from Rfam by way of RNAcentral.
AGCAGUGUAGCCUAGUGGAAAGAGCACCAGCCUGGGAGUCAGAGCACCUGGGUUCUAAUCCCAGCUCUGCCA